UACGGAGGGUGCAAGCGUUAUCCGGAUUUACUGGGCUUAAAGGGUGCGCAGGCGGAUAUGUAAGUCAGUGGUGAAAUCUCUGGGCUUAACCCGGAAAUUGCCAUUGAUACUAUAUAUCUUGAAUGCUGUGGAGGUAAGCGGAAUAUGUCAUGUAGCGGUGAAAUGCUUAGAUAUGACAUAGAACACCAAUUGCGAAGGCAGCUAGCUACACAAAUAUUGACACUGAGGCACGAAAGCGUGGGGAUCAAACAGG
This 253-nucleotide ribosomal RNA is filed under the name uncultured bacterium. RNAcentral's name for it is "partial 16S ribosomal RNA". It matches the Rfam family "Bacterial small subunit ribosomal RNA", at positions 524 to 776 of the family's 1533-position model. The record is from RNAcentral.